GACGAACGCUGGCGGCGCGCCUAACACAUGCAAGUCGAACGAGCGAGAGAGAGCUUGCUUUCUCAAGCGAGUGGCGAACGGGUGAGUAACGCGUGAGGAACCUGCCUCAAAGAGGGGGACAACAGUUGGAAACGACUGCUAAUACCGCAUAAGCCCACAGGUCGGCAUCGACCAGAGGGAAAAGGAGCAAUCCGCUUUGAGAUGGCCUCGCGUCCGAUUAGCUAGUUGGUGAGGUAAUGGCCCACCAAGGCGACGAUCGGUAGCCGGACUGAGAGGUUGAACGGCCACAUUGGGACUGAGACACGGCCCAGACUCCUACGGGAGGCAGCAGUGGGGAAUAUUGCACAAUGGGGGAAACCCUGAUGCAGCGACGCCGCGUGGAGGAAGAAGGUCUUCGGAUUGUAAACUCCUGUUGUUGAGGAAGAUAAUGACGGUACUCAACAAGGAAGUGACGGCUAA
Molecule: ribosomal RNA, 459 nt
Filed under: uncultured bacterium
Lineage: Bacteria
Description: bacterial SSU rRNA
Rfam family: Bacterial small subunit ribosomal RNA
Source: RNAcentral